RNAcentral lists this ribosomal RNA (340 nucleotides) under uncultured bacterium. Its description in RNAcentral is "bacterial SSU rRNA". It matches the Rfam family "Bacterial small subunit ribosomal RNA", at positions 1165 to 1505 of the family's 1533-position model. The record is from RNAcentral.
AGAGGAAGGUGGGGAUGACGUCAAGUCCUCAUGGCCCUUACGGGCUGGGCUACACACGUGCUACAAUGGUGGUGACAGUGGGCAGCGAGACAGCGAUGUCGAGCUAAUCUCCAAAAGCCAUCUCAGUUCGGAUUGCACUCUGCAACUCGAGUGCAUGAAGUUGGAAUCGCUAGUAAUCGCAGAUCAGCAUGCUGCGGUGAAUACGUUCCCGGGCCUUGUACACACCGCCCGUCACACCAUGGGAGUUGGUUUUACCCGAAGGUAGUGCGCUAACCGCAAGGAGGCAGCUAACCACGGUAGGGUCAGCGACUGGGGUGAAGUCGUAACAAGGUAGCCGUAA